Molecule: ribosomal RNA, 252 nt
Filed under: uncultured bacterium
Lineage: Bacteria
Description: partial 16S ribosomal RNA
Rfam family: Bacterial small subunit ribosomal RNA
Source: RNAcentral
UACGUAGGGGGCAAGCAUUAUCCGGAAUCACUGGGCGUAAAGGGUGCGUAGGCGGCUGAGCAAGCCAGGGGUGAAAGGCAGUAGCUUAACUAUUGUAAGCCUUUGGAACUGUUCAGCUUGAGUGUAGGAGAGGUAAGUGGAAUUCCUAGUGUAGCGGUGAAAUGCGUAGAUAUUAGGAGGAACACCAGUGGCGAAGGCGACUUACUGGACUAUAACUGACGCUGAGGCACGAAAGCGUGGGGAGCAAACAGG